GUCCAGCCCACCCCGAUUGACCUGCAUUGCACUGCUAAGGGACAUACUGCAUUACUGGUGAGAGGUGUAAUGUUUCAUGAUGAGGGUGUUGCUGGCUACGCAGCAUUUAUUGCCCAUCCCUAAUUGCCUAGUUAAGAGUCAACGACAUUUCUGUGGACCUGGAGUUCCAUGUAGGCCAGACCAGCUCAUGGGUUCCCAAGGUCAAGGAAAAAACGUAAGCACAUUCUCCACUGCUGCAGAAUGCUGACACCAAAUCUCGGGCCAUUGGAAUCCCAGACCGGACCACCAUGCCACCGCAAAAGUCAUGGGAAACAUCCUCUCAACAUUUACCAUGUAAAGUCCCUGAAAAAUCUGGUAUGUUUCAGUGAAAUCACUUCUCAGUGAGACUACUUCCCAUUCUUUUAAAUUUCGAUGAGCAGAGUCCCAACCUGUUUAACCUUUGACCAUAAGACAAUCACUCCAAACCAGGGAUCAUUCUGGUGAACCUUGUCUGAACUGUCUCCAAUGAAAAAACAAAUAAUUUUAGUGAUCUCUGUUCACAGGGUUUACUGAGAUACUUCCUGUGCUGAUCAGAGUGUUGCUUCAUGAUCUUUCUUCUCCAGAUGCUUCCGCUGAAAUGUAGGAGGCACA
Stegostoma tigrinum is the source of this 630-nucleotide long non-coding RNA. RefSeq lists it as uncharacterized. NCBI's taxonomy places the organism in Eukaryota, Metazoa, Chordata, Chondrichthyes, Orectolobiformes, Stegostomatidae. The record is from RefSeq and is a predicted model, not a curated record. The transcript has 4 exons.